UUCCCUUCGGACACAGAUUUGUUUUUUGGACAGCCUUCUGAUUUCCCCGCUGGUAGGGAAGCUGAUCAUCGUGCGCAUUCGAGGGCAGCUUUGACCCUUCUCAUACAAACAUCACAUUUACCAGAUACGUUGGACAGCACCAAAUCCAAGACUUUUAAUUUUCUCUUUUUACGUAAUUUGUCAGUAUGUUGACAUGAUGGUAACCACCACAGUCUACAGCCCCGUCACAUGUCCUAACAGAAGCUCAUCUCUGCUGCUGUUAAACCCCAAAUCCUCUGAUUUAGCUGCUGCCCCCUCCUUUCUUUCUGAUUCCCAUUUAAAGUUGCACUGUAGAAAACAUGCUGUUUUGAAAGGGAAAACCGUCAAGAUGGACUGUGCAAUGUAAUCAAAGCUUUGGAAAUGCCAGCUUUAAUGUUGCAGUUCAGAUAAUUUAAUUCAUCUUCCACUUCAGUUUGUGUGCCAAGACUGGAAUGCCUGUUUCUCUAGUAAUGUGUUCAAGAAUGUACUGCAGAUACAUUGGCUGACAUGUUUGUCAAAUAUCCAGCUGAAUAUCACUUAAUGGAAGUUUCUGUUAAGCAGGUAGAGAAAGUGGUCACCUGUUUGUAGUAGACUGUAGUUAAAAGUAAGGGACUAUAAAGUCAAAUUUCUUUUCGUGAAUGUUACAGUAUUUGCAACGUUGGGCAAGUGGCUGUUCUGAAGCAGUUUUCCUGACUCCUGUUUCUGGUAUUAUUGUUCUUUUCCUGCAGGGAGAAAAUUGCUUGAGUCUGAUGUGGUUUCACCAUCAUCUGAAAUGGUCAUUGUUGUGCGUGUGGUUUUCACCUACUGUAUAUGGAGAAGCUUUUUUUUUUUUUUUUUUUUUUUUUUUUUUUGCUCAGAUUGCUGUCAUUGGCUUCUUGAAAAAUGUUGUGAAAAUUACAGUUUAGUCAGUUGUUUGUUCAACUGAUUGUUGAAAGUAUAGCAAAGUGUUUUUGUUUGUUUUUUGUUUUCUAUGCCCACAGUCACUGUUCUGUUUUCCCCCAGGUCUGACCUUGGCUGCGCUCUCGCUCUGUGAGGUUUACAAGGAAUAAACUUUUUUUUUUCUUGCAAACUGACUUUUCCCUGCUUGUUGCUGUUUGACAGUGUAUCCACAAAUACCUGAAAACUUGACAGCUUUAUAAGUUCACGUAGUGUUUGUCAUUAUAGUUAUUUCAGCUUUCAGUUGAGACCUCAAGUGUUAGAUCUGUAAGGCUGCUCUAGCCUUGAGGUGCAUGAUGG
This is a long non-coding RNA of Amphiprion ocellaris (clown anemonefish), 1254 nucleotides long. Lineage: Eukaryota; Metazoa; Chordata; Actinopteri; Pomacentridae. The record is from Ensembl.